Long non-coding RNA from Papaver somniferum (opium poppy), 3057 nucleotides. RefSeq lists it as uncharacterized. NCBI's taxonomy places the organism in Eukaryota, Viridiplantae, Streptophyta, Magnoliopsida, Ranunculales, Papaveraceae. The record is from RefSeq and is a predicted model, not a curated record. The transcript has 5 exons.
GGUUAAAAAGAAUUGUGACGUCUGUUCGUAAAGAAGCAAACAAACAAAAUUCUCCGCACACCAGCUUGCCCCGUUUUCAUACUCUCUCUUCUGAAACCUCAUGCAAACCUAAUCAAACCCAUCCAAUUUGAACUACGAGAGGUGAUCAAUGGAAACAACUCGCGAUUGUUUUUGGAAUAUUAUUUGAGUUGAAGAUCAUAGAAUCUGAAAUAGAAGCUAUUCUUAAAAUCCUAGGGUUUUAUCAGGGAAUCUUUUAUGCUUCUUAACUCGAUUUCUUCUCUGUAUAUUUGGUAUAUCUAAUUGGUCAAAGCCUAAAAAUAUCCUAGGGAUUUUGCAGGCUUUAGAGAAUCAAUCAAGUUUGACUAUGGGAGUAAGGCCUUCGCAGAUAGAUUGGAACUCUUUGAGUUCGAUCAAGUCCGACUGUGGAAGGAAUUUAAUGUACAGAUUGAUACAAGAACUAAUAUAUAUGUUAUCAGUGGAUUGCAAUUCUUGCAGUGGUUGUCAAAAAAAAAAAAAAACAGUGAACUUGGAGUAAGUUUAUAUUUCCCAUUCGUUUUGAUUUCAUGUUUGUAUAUAAUUUAUCGAAUCAAUUUCUGAGGUUUGUUAUAAAAAAGAUGUUGAUCUAAUAUUUGAGCUAACAUGGGUUCUUUUUUCACAAUUCCAUCUGUAUGAAGGAUUGAUUUUAGGCUCCCUUUUGGUAGGUAAGACUUAAAGCAUACACUUAAUAUUUUCUAUGUGUUCCUUAAAUGUUUAAUCAAUUUGUUCAACUGUUUGAAUGAGUCUACCAAGCACAAAGAAUGCAGUGGAAGACUAAAUUACUUCUUUAUCAGGGAACUAAGAACAAUUGGGCAUGAGAACAAUUUCUGCAUCACCAUUGAGCAUCAUUAGACCAAGGAGAUUAGGUCCCUUCAAGAGUCGCUCGAGAAGUUCAAAUUAAAGAUGGCUAAUUUAUGUGAACUGGUUGAAAAUAAACUUUUCUGAGUUCUGAGCUACAAAAUGAGAUCAACAUACGGGAAGCCGAGGCACAAAGCUGUUUAUACAUCUUCAUAACCUGCUUUCAUCUAUUCGAGAAUAAGGGAAGGUCAUACAAGUUCAUAUUUUGAUGAGCCAACUUUUUCCACCGAAUGAUGAGUUUCUUCAGAGACCACAACUACGGCUGUACAUAUACGUAUAUAUGGGGAAAUAGUGGGUGGUGGCGGAUAUGUAUUAAUAUGGAGGUUUGGUCGUGGGGUGGCAGUGGUUGCUGCUGAUGGUGGAUUUGUUGUAGUCUUCAAAUUUGGUUGAUAUCGAUUUACAUAAUUCUUGGUUUUGUUGUCUCUUAUGUUUGUGAAUUCUGAUAUUGGUACUCAUAUUAAUUAUAGAAUGUUGUAGGGGCCUAAGUUUUUGGAACCAAAUUCAAUAGUGAUUCCACAACAAAAACUCACAUUCUCAUAAUACAAUGAACUUAGCAAUCAGAUUGACAAUAGUCACAACAUUAAUCUUACAUGGUCUUGCAAGUUACAAAGAGGCCUAACUGAAAGGAGUGUCAAAUUUAAGAACUGACAAUUGUGGGCUUGAGGUAUACGUUUGUCAACCUAAAAUUUCGCAGCAGUGAAUAAUUAUGGAUACUUAUGCUCACUCCAGAUAAUAUAUAGUUUCUAAGUGACAGAUGUUGGCGACAACUACUAAAUAUGCAAAAAUUAGGAUACAACUAGGUGGAGUGAAAUUACAAUUUGAGUAUUGAAAUUGUUCUGAUGAUGCCAUCUUUAUUUAUUUUGUAUUUCUAUUGUGUUCGUUUAUUUUCAUGGUCUUGCAAGUAAGAGAAGAUACAGACUGAUCUACUAAUCCUAAACUUGAGCUUCCAGUAUCAGACGAAAUUGAGUUGCAUUAAAUUUUAAUAACUAUUUACUUAAGUUCAAGGAGAAUAAAAACCUUUUCGUUGUAGCAUUUACUUGGUAGGCUCAAAGUCUCCUCUUGGUUAAACCUUCUCUUUGAUAAUUAUUUUGGCAUUUACUUCAUUAUUUGCGUGUACCUAUACAAUUUAUAUUGGUUGUUUAGAUCAAACUAACUGAGAUAUUUUACAGAGACCACCAUUGAGAUAUAUCCUCUAAGAAAUAUUGGCACGAUAUGCUCUUAAACGUGACUUUUACGAGGAUGCUUUAAAUCCAGCGAAACUUGAACCGAUGCAAGAGGAUGAGGGCUCUAAACCUAUGUUGUGAAAGGUUCCCUAGGCGCACGAGUCGUGCAAGGGGCGCCUAGACCAAAAAACACCUAAGGCGCCACAAGUAAUAUGAGCAAAAAAAAAUUUUAAAAUUUUCUGGGUGCCUUAGGCGCGCCUAGCCCUCGCCUAGCCUUAACACAACAUAGCUCUAAACUGAUAUUUUUUCAGUUACCAGUGUUUCUUUGCAUUUGAAGAAGAAUCAGCUGCCUACAUAGGACAAAAAAACAGGUAGCAACCCAAAACCAUCCAUUGCCAGUGGGACAUCAAGAUAUACAGUUUGGAAGAAUUGCCACCUGGAUUCAUGGUAAUAUCUUGGUGCACAAGAGUGAAGGAUCAAAGACACCUUUUGUAUAUAUAUUAUUAGCUUUCUUUAACUUCAUAUUACUUAGGAAGAGUUUUGGUAUGAAUUAGUUUUUAGCCGUUCAACCCUGUUACCUAAAUUUUCUUUAGGUGAAUUCUUUUGAACUUUUUAUUGAUCCGAUGCUAUACUGAAAUGGGAAAACCUAUGUCAUCUACAAAUGCAUGAAUACGUACAAAAAUGUGGUUCUUCGGAGCCUAUAUGAAAUCAAUAUCUACUCAAGAGUAUGAAAUUUUUUUAAAUUCAUAUCUUUCUGAUUAUAUUACUUGGGAAGAGUUAGUUCUUAGCCGUUCAACCAUGUUAAGUAAAUUUUCUUUAGCUGAGUUUUGUUUGAUGUUUCAUACUCUCUUGAUAGCUAUUGAUUUCGUAUAGCCUCCUGAGAACCACAUUUUUGUACGUAUUCAUGGAUAUGUAGACGACAUAGGAUUUCUUAUCUCAUCUUUGUUGUUCCAUUGAAUUAAACUUCCUGGAUGUGCAUGGAAAAUUCUGUCUUCUUAAA